This 497-nucleotide ribosomal RNA is filed under the name uncultured bacterium. RNAcentral describes it as "partial 16S ribosomal RNA". It matches the Rfam family "Bacterial small subunit ribosomal RNA", at positions 28 to 507 of the family's 1533-position model. The record is from RNAcentral.
GAUGAACGCUGGCGGCAUGCCUAACACAUGCAAGUCGAGCGAACGCACGGGAAGCAUGCUCCUAUGAUGUUGGCGGGCGACGGGUGAUUAACUCGUCGAUGACCUAGCUAUAAGACUGUGAUAAUAACGGGGCACCGGAGCUACUACCGGAUGAUAUUUUGAACCGGAUGGAUCAAGAGUGGAAGAAGGUAUUGGUGUGAGUUACAGCUGGCUCCGCGGUGCAUUAGUAAGUUGGUAAGGUGACGGCUUAGCAACGCAACGAUGCAUAGACGACCUGAGAGGGUCAUCGGACACCCUGGAACUGAGACACGGUCCAGACUCCUACGGGAGGAAGCAGUAGGGAAUCUUCCGCAAUGGGCGAAAGCCGGACCGUGCAACGCCGCGUGAGUGAUGAAGGUCUUCGGAUCGGAAAACUCUGUUGGUAGGAAAGAUCAUAUGUGUAUGUAACUGUGCACAUCUUGACGGUACCUAAAGAAAAAGCCACGGCUAACUACGUG